GCGGGAAUAGCUCUGUUGGUAGUGCACGACCUUGCCAUGGUCGGGGUCGCGAGUUCGAGUCUCGUUUCCCGCUCCA
This 76-nucleotide transfer RNA is filed under the name Rahnella variigena. Its description in RNAcentral is "tRNA-Gly". It matches the Rfam family "tRNA". Rfam says of the family: Transfer RNA (tRNA) molecules are approximately 80 nucleotides in length. Their secondary structure includes four short double-helical elements and three loops (D, anti-codon, and T loops). Further hydrogen bonds mediate the characteristic L-shaped molecular structure. tRNAs have two regions of fundamental functional importance: the anti-codon, which is responsible for specific mRNA codon recognition, and the 3' end, to which the tRNAs corresponding amino acid is attached (by aminoacyl-tRNA synthetases). tRNAs cope with the degeneracy of the genetic code in two manners: having more than one tRNA (with a specific anti-codon) for a particular amino acid; and 'wobble' base-pairing, i.e. permitting non-standard base-pairing at the 3rd anti-codon position. The record is from RNAcentral. Lineage: Bacteria; Pseudomonadati; Pseudomonadota; Gammaproteobacteria; Enterobacterales; Yersiniaceae.